UGAUGAGGCUUUUUAGACGAUAUUUACAUCAGUUUGCGAUCAGCGUGACCUGUGAUUAGUGUUUGUGAUCCCCUCAUUGUGGUCAUUAACGUUUGGAAUACGACACAGACGACCCAUUCUGAUCAACAGUGAAAUAAUAUUUUUAGUGCACUUUAAAUUGUGACUUUUAGGCUGUUAUCUACUGCAAGUGACUACUUUAUUCAAGGCAACGAUUGUAUCGCAUUAGAUAUAAUGAUCUCACAUCUGGAGCCUUCAACAGUCGAUAUCGUAGUUUGCGAUGCCUCCGUCGAUAAAAGAACUCCCUGUCAUACCAGGAAUAGAGAUCCACCGCCAUCUGUUAGGAGACUGUUCAGAAUAAGCUGGUGGAAACAGAAGAUAAUGAACUCUCAGGAGAAGGGCCGCGACUCCAGGAGGAAAGCAGAACCCGCACACC
This is a long non-coding RNA of Diachasma alloeum, 433 nucleotides long. RefSeq lists it as uncharacterized. The transcript has 3 exons. The record is from RefSeq and is a predicted model, not a curated record. Lineage: Eukaryota; Metazoa; Arthropoda; Insecta; Hymenoptera; Braconidae.